This is a long non-coding RNA of Homo sapiens (human), 4238 nucleotides long. RefSeq lists it as uncharacterized. The record is from RefSeq and is a predicted model, not a curated record. NCBI's taxonomy places the organism in Eukaryota, Metazoa, Chordata, Mammalia, Primates, Hominidae. The transcript has 2 exons.
AGUGGGGUCUAAGCCCGAAGAGAAUUGAAGUUCAGCCACAGAGCAAGAAGAGGGCAGGAGAGCAGGCCGUGCAAACCUCCUAGUAGCUCCCUCAGGGCUCUUCCAAAAAGAAUAUCUACUUGUUUUCUAGAUGUGAUGGUAUGAGGCAAGUAUUGGGUGACAGCCAGGUACUAGAUACUGUAUUCGGCUAAUUAGUUCUGUGAUACCAUUUAAGUAUUUUUUUUAGUUUUUUUUUCCCAUAGGUUUUGAGGGAACAGGUAUUAUUUGGUUACAUGAGCAGGUUCUUUAGUGGUGAUUUGUGAGAUUUUGGUGCAUCCAUCUCCCAAGCAGUAUACACUGCACCCAAUUUGGGUGUUUUAAGCUCCACCUCUUCAUUUGUGUGUGUGUAUACAUGUCUAGAUGUGUUUACUUGUAUGUACACUUACUGUUAUAUGUUGUGUCUACCAAAUUGGCUUAUAAGUAAAAGAGUGUUCAUAAAUUAAGUAAAUAAGUCUAAGCAAUUUUCAAAUUCACUUAAGUAUGACUUUGCUAAAUAGGCUGUCUUUUAAAUUAUCAGUAAAAUGAAAAUAGAAAUGUCUUCAAAAUAUAGACAUGGUCUAAAUUAUGCAAGUCAGAAACUAGGUUGACUAAAUGCUUUAAGGUCAUAAACUGCUUUGGCUUUUGAAAAUUGUUCAACUUUCCUGCUUUGCAGUUUGGUAGGGCCUGCCCUAGCUAUGCUGGAAAUAGUUAGACCUCAUCUGCACCUAAGUACGUAACUAAAAUAACUUACUGGGUAUUUCACCAAAAUUAACAAUUACUAAGAGCUACCAUUAUAACAUGUAGUGAUGACUACUGAAAACAGAUCUACACGUGAGAAUCAAGGAAGCUUUUCUUUUGAGCUAUUUGUAGCUUUUGACAAUUGUGAAGGUGAACCAACUAGUGAUAUCUGACUACAGCUCAGAAGAAACAAGGGAUGGGCCGUUAAACUCCAAAUGGUCAUGAAAAUGGAGCCUCAGAUGAUGGCUGCCUUGUACUGGAUAUUCUUAGAUAGGUCUCUGAGAGAGACUUGACUGUUGUUUUCCCAAAACAAUAUCCCUGGUCAGCACGAAGCAGUUAAGAGUGGUCAUUGUCCCUACCCUAACAGCAGUUAGGUGUACCUCUUCAGAGGGGGAAAUGAUGGCAGCAGCAGGGAGGCGUGGCUGGGGCUGAACACUCCACGGAGCUGAUGGAAGCCCCACCCUCCUGGGACUGUGGAUCCAAGCCUCCUUGUGCUCUUGGAGGGGGCCAGCAGCAGGCCAGAUCUGCCUGCCUGGAUGCAGCUGCAACCACCUGACCUGUGGCUGCAGACCUGGGCCUCUCACUCCACAGAGCAGGCAGGAGCCAGGGACAAGCAGGAACCCCACCCCUUCUGAGUUGGCAGGGUGGGAGUUCCGUGGAUGCAGCUGUGGCUGCCCUCCCAGGCACAAGACCUGGGCAUCUCUGCAGCCUGCAACCUCAGGGGCCUGGGAAGGCCUCCCCACUAGUCCCCAUCCCAGGCUCAGAAGAGUCUGCUCCCACUGCCUGGCCCCUCUCCCAUCCCAGCACCUGCUCCGAUCUCAGAGCAGGGUUGGGGUUGAGACCUGGGGCCAUGAAUGGCAGCAGGAGGCAGACAGAGUCCUGGGAAGAAGGAGGUGUGUCCCUAGUAAGGCCCACCUUCAGGCCAAGAAGGGCCUGAAGGCUGGGGCCUGGGCUGCCAGUCCCGGAAACCAGAGUGGGGACUUGUGGUGCCUCUUCCUAACCCACCCAUGGCCACCCACAGAACAACUGGCAUGCACUUCCUCCCUUCUGAGGUCCAUAAAAGCCCUGGACUCAGCCAGAGCAGGGCAGAGGAUAGCUAGAGGAUGAAGAGGGCAGAGAGAUGAUGGGACAACCAGCUGCAGAAAGGAGUACCCUCUCUGCCGAUAGCUGGAGAUGAUGGGACAACCCACAGAGAGGAGCCACAUUCUCUGCUGAUAGCUGCAGCGACAACCUGCUGGCAGAGAGGAACCACCCUCUCCAGGGCUUCCUCUCUGCUGAGAGCUGCAAACAUCAGGAUGACCAGUUGCAGAGAGGAGCUACCUCUCCUGGGCCUCCUCUCUACUGAGAACUGAACACUCGACAGAUGACCUGCCUAGAAGAGGAGCUACCCAAUGCAGGUGUCCUCUGAGCUGUUGUAACACUCAAUAGAGCUCAUCUUCGUCUUGCUCACCCUUCACUUGUCUAUGUCCCUUAUUCUUCCUGGACGCAGGACAAGAGCUCAUGCAAAGGCACCGUGACCACAGAGGUUUCCAGCCAGAAAAUUGACACCUCAAAGGUCCUGUAACAAAGAGACAGUCACCAAAGCUGGGACAGCAGCAGGCAUGGGGCACCACAGGACCCCAAAACCAGUCCUACCAUCCAAAAAGUGCCUUACAAGGUGGAGGGAAGAGCAGGAGACAAGAAAGAAGACCAGAGGGUGUAGCAGACUGGCUGUCCAGUGGCCCACAUAUCCUCACCUCUCAGCUGAGUGUGCAGAACCUGUGACUUGCCUGUAACCAAUGGAAAUGGCAAGUGUCACGGAUGACACCUCCAUGAUCAUGCUCCUUAAGAUUGUAACAUCCACAUGGCUGAGAGUCUCUCUCCCCUGCUGGCUGUGAUGGAGCCCUGGCCCUGUGGUGGAGGCCCACAUGGCAAGGAGCUGUGGGUACCUUCAGCUGGCAACCAGCGGGAAACCAAGACCCUUGGUCCUGAAGUGGGACAGAAUGAAUCCUGCCGAUAUCCACUUGAGCUCCAAAUCAAAUCUUUCUCCAGAUGAGCCUUGAGACGAGGCCACCACUGCAGCUAACACCUUGAAUGUAACAUCCAGCUGCCCUGCAGCUACCCUCCUGACCACAGAGCCCAGGAGACAUGGAGUGUGCAUGCUUUACGCAGCUCAGUUUGUGGUGACAUGGUGUCACGGCAACAGACAAGAAAGCUUCAGGCUCCUGGGAAUCCCAGAGCAGCUGCAGGGCUCCUCCCUGCCCCACACUGAGCAGCCCAGCACUCUCCAGCAGGCCCAUUGCCUGCACCUUGUCAAUGACCCAGAUGGCUGUGCUCUCCAGAACCUACCCGAGCUCCUACAGGUGCCACUCACUGCCUCCCCUCCCCUGGGCAGACUCCUCGCUGAUGGUGCAAUAGCCCAAGUUCCUAGGGAACCUGGGCCAGGGAGUUACCUCUGCACAGGGGUAAUGCCCCAGUAGGCUCUGGCUCAGAGUUGCUGAUGGAAGGCAUCAAAGUGGCGCAAGGUGGAAAACACCCCAUCCCUCCCCCAUUUUCAGACCUAGGAGUGCAUGUGGCAUUGGGGGUGAGCCCCUCCACAUGCACAUAGAAGUACAGAUAAACAGAGGCCCAUGGUGUCAGGCAUACUCUGGAUUUCUGAGACUCUCAGCUGAGCCUCAAGCCCAGUAGACCCACUGGCUGAUUUGGUCAAAAGCAUGCCCCACCUUGGGGGCUGCAGCUCCAUAAUUCCCACUCCUGGGGGGUUUUCUUCUUUGGAAAUGCUCAGCUGCUGCCAAGAGAGGGCUCAAGGGGGCUGCCACCCAGAAGGCUGAGCAUGCCCUGGGCAGGAGGGAGGUGGGCCAGAGGCAGACACUCCCCAGCCCAGAGGAAGGUGGUGGCGCACACUCAGUGCUGGCCCUGUUGUGCCCACAACCCUGACACGAGUGUCCUGCAUGUGGAUGGGAAGCAGCCAGGGUGCAAGGGGCCCACUUUCAGCACACUUUGAGGAGAAACCAGGCCCCUCUGUGGUACCACCUCCCCAGUGGCCUGUCCAGGCCAAGCCUGGUGCCACUGCUCACCUGUUUCAUGGAGAAAGCAGCUGCCCCCAACUCUGGGUGCUCAAUGGACUCAGGCCUCCUUUCUUUGGCUUGGACUAGGGAGCAAGGGAGCCUGUACCCACCCCUGCAUCCUUCCUUUUCCACUGUCUCCCAGCCCCAUGGUUUGGGUCCAUGAGGGGAUGACCAGACAUCCCAGGCAAUCAAAAUUGCAAAGGGGAGAUGGGACUGAGGGCCAUGGCCAACUGAGAACAAGCCGUUGCCACCAUCCUGAGCAUCUAGGAUGGCAGGCCGGGCUCCUUCUGAGCCCCGUCUCCUGAUCUGAUGGAACUGCUCACCCCCACGUACUGCAGAUGAGAAAUGAGAAACGAAGGCCUAAGGGGGCAAGUCAUCUGCCCAGAAUCACAUGCCUGGCUCUAUGUCAAGUCUUAAUAAAUCAACUCACUCAAA